Triticum dicoccoides is the source of this 2196-nucleotide long non-coding RNA. RefSeq lists it as uncharacterized. NCBI's taxonomy places the organism in Eukaryota, Viridiplantae, Streptophyta, Magnoliopsida, Poales, Poaceae. The transcript has 4 exons. The record is from RefSeq and is a predicted model, not a curated record.
AGCCAAAACUGACCGGUUCUAGAAGGAAGCGUACAUCAGAUGUAUGGGAUGAUUUCAAGACGGAACUAAUCAAUGGGAAGUGGCAGACAAUAUGCAACUGGUGUCAUAAGCUAUAUGCUGGAGAAUCAACCUCCGGUAUGUCACACUUAAGAACUCAUCAUAAUAGCUGUCCGGCUCGGCAUGCACCAGUGGGUCCACAACAAAGCAAAUUAAAGUUGUCAAAAUCUAGGGAUGGGAAAAUAAAUUUGGAGACCUAUGUUUUUGAUCAAGAACUUGCUAGAAAGGAACUUGCAUUGAUGAUAUGUGUGCAUGAGUACCCUCUGACUAUAGUUGAUCAUGCUGGAUUCUAAAAAUUUUGUGGUACUUUGCAACCAAUGUUCAAGAUGGUGUCUAGAAAUACCAUUAGGCAGGACAUUAAAAAUAUGUUUGGUGUCCAAAAGAAUAGCAUGGUGAAUUACUUUGCAAAGUUUGAGAACUGAGUAGCCAUCACAACAGAUUUGUGGACGGCUGGCCAUCAAAAGAGGGGCUAUAUGGCUGUAACUGCACAUUAUAUUGAUGCUUCUUGGAACCUAAAGAGAUUCCUAAUGAGGUUUGUGUAUGUUCCAUGUCCACACAAUGCUGAAGUUAUAUGUGAAGCACUACAUGCAUGUCUUGUUGAGUGGCACCUUGAGAAUAAGAUAUCCACGGUGACCUUGGACAAUUGUACAUCAAAUGACAAGGCUAUCGAAAUUAUGCCAGAUAAGUUGGACACCUCUUCUCUUAUGUUAAAAGGAUCUUUGAUGCAUAUGCAUUGUGCUUAUCAUAUAUUAAAUCUAAUUGUAAAAGAUGGAUUGGGUGUCAUGGAGAAAAGGAUUGAGAGGGUAUGAGAUAGUGUUGUAUUUUGGUCAGCCACACCUAAAAGACAUGAGAAGUUUGAAAAGAUGGCAUGCCUUUUGAACAAUGAAUACAAGUGUAGAUUGGCUCUUGAUUGUAAAACUAGGUGUAAUUCUACCUACAUAAUGUUAAAAGGUGCAUUGCAAUACAAAGAUGUUUUUGAAAGACUUUAUAUACGUGAAAAGAAUUUUACUUGUCCAACCGGAGAAGAUUGGGUCUUUGCUAAGGAGGUUUGUGAUAGGCUGAAAGUGUUCUUUGAUGUCACAGAGUUGUUGUCAGGCACUUCAUAUGUUACAGCUAGUCUUUUCUUUCCACAAAUAUGUGGCAUCCGGUGGGCAAUUCGCAAAUGGGAACUAGUAAACAUAGUGUCAUAAAAGCUAUGUCUAAGGAAAUGAAAGACAAGUUCGAGAAGUAUUGGACAGAUGUCCAUGGUCUUAUGGCUAUUGCCACCGUCCUUGAUCCACAUUAUAAGAUGCAUAUGUUCAAGGCUUCAUUUGGGUCAUUGUAUGGAACUGAACAUGCAUCCAUAGAAGUUGAUAAAAUAAAGAAGUUAAUGCUAGAUUUGCUGGCUGAAUAUCAAGAUGUAUCUCAGUGUGUUGAAACAUCUAAUGUUGGAAACACCCCAGCUGUUCAUAAUGGCGGUGUAGAUGAAAUUUUGGGUGUGUUUGAGAAAUACUUGUCUUCACAACAUGUCACUCCUUAUCAAGUUUGCACUGAAUUGGACAUGUACUUGGAUGAGCCCCUUAUUCGUAGAACAACAGAUUUUGACAUUAUUAAUUGGUGGGAAGUUGGAGGUGUAAAGUACCCUACUUUGUAGAAGAUUGCUCGUGAUAUAUUACCCAUCCAUGUUACAUCUGUGGCAUCAGAGUCAGUCUUUAGUACUAGUGGGAGGUUACUUAGUGCACAUCGCAGUCGACUUACACCAAGCAUAGCUGAAGCUCUUAUGUGUAUGCAAGCUUGGUCAUGAGCGGACAUGUUAGGUGAUAUCAACUUCGCUCUACAAGCAAUUCAAAGUGUUCUUGAGGAUGAAGAAGAAGUGAUGGGUGAAAAUGAGUCCAUCAUUACCGAAGACUAAUUUGGAGCCAAGUGUGCUCAUGUGGACAUGUGGCUGGGUCUCCAAUUACUAGCGCACGUACUGUUAGAAGUGCAUUUGAAUUUUGAAAUAUCUUACGUACUUUAUUUAUGAAAAUUCGGUUGUGAUGUAAUAAGAUCUUACAACUUUGGUUGUGAUGUAAUAAGAUUUAAGACAAGAAUUCUACUAUGAGACCAUUUGAGUUGUCAACUUGUCAUUGUGUGGUCUACUGUUUUUUAUAUGAAAUAAGA